This 864-nucleotide ribosomal RNA is filed under the name Sphingobacterium sp. RNAcentral's name for it is "bacterial SSU rRNA". It matches the Rfam family "Bacterial small subunit ribosomal RNA", at positions 48 to 906 of the family's 1533-position model. The record is from RNAcentral. Lineage: Bacteria; Pseudomonadati; Bacteroidota; Sphingobacteriia; Sphingobacteriales; Sphingobacteriaceae.
CUAAUACAUGCAAGUCGGACGGGAUCCAUCGGUAGCUUGCUAUCAAUGGUGAGAGUGGCGCACGGGUGCGUAACGCGUGAGCAACCUGCCUCCAUCAGGGGGAUAGCCUCUCGAAAGAGAGAUUAACACCGCAUAACAUAUUGUACCGGCAUCGGAAGAUUAUUAAAUAUUUAUAGGAUGGAGAUGGGCUCGCGUGACAUUAGCUAGUUGGUGGGGUAACGGCUUACCAAGGCGACGAUGUCUAGGGGCUCUGAGAGGAGAAUCCCCCACACUGGUACUGAGACACGGACCAGACUCCUACGGGAGGCAGCAGUAAGGAAUAUUGGUCAAUGGGCGGAAGCCUGAACCAGCCAUGCCGCGUGCAGGAUGACUGCCCUAUGGGUUGUAAACUGCUUUUGUCCGGGAAUAAACCUCCUUACGAGUAGGGAGCUGAAUGUACCGGAAGAAUAAGGAUCGGCUAACUCCGUGCCAGCAGCCGCGGUAAUACGGAGGAUCCGAGCGUUAUCCGGAUUUAUUGGGUUUAAAGGGUGCGUAGGCGGCCCGUUAAGUCAGGGGUGAAAUACGGUGGCUCAACCAUCGCAGUGCCUUUGAUACUGACGGGCUUGAAUCCAUAUGAAGUGGGCGGAAUAAGACAAGUAGCGGUGAAAUGCAUAGAUAUGUCUUAGAACUCCGAUUGCGAAGGCAGCUCACUAAGCUGGUAUUGACGCUGAUGCACGAAAGCGUGGGGAUCGAACAGGAUUAGAUACCCUGGUAGUCCACGCCCUAAACGAUGAUAACUCGAUGUUGGCGAUAGACAGCCAGCGUCCCAGCGAAAGCGUUAAGUUAUCCACCUGGGGAGUACGCCCGCAAGGGUGAAACUCAAAG